UACGUAGGGGGCAAGCGUUGUCCGGAAUCAUUGGGCGUAAAGGGCGCGUAGGUGGCCCGGUCAGUUCGUGGUGAAAGCGCGGGGGCUCAACCCUGCGUCGGCCAUGAAUACUGCCGCGGCUGGAGCACUGUAGAGGCAGGCGGAAUUCCGGGUGUAGCGGUGGAAUGCGUAGAGAUCCGGAAGAACACCGGUGGCGAAGGCGGCCUGCUGGGCAGUUGCUGACACUGAGGCGCGACAGCGUGGGGAGCAAACAGG
RNAcentral lists this ribosomal RNA (255 nucleotides) under uncultured bacterium. RNAcentral's name for it is "partial 16S ribosomal RNA". It matches the Rfam family "Bacterial small subunit ribosomal RNA", at positions 524 to 776 of the family's 1533-position model. The record is from RNAcentral.